RNAcentral lists this long non-coding RNA (1653 nucleotides) under Equus caballus (horse). RNAcentral's name for it is "lncRNA (ENSECAG00000045541.1)". Lineage: Eukaryota; Metazoa; Chordata; Mammalia; Perissodactyla; Equidae. The record is from RNAcentral.
GGGCGGGGGCGGGGGCAGUUUCUCUCACUCACCGAUCUGGAUUCGAUCAAUUCUGUUCUCUGGUCUCCCAGGGCCCUGCGUUUAUGGGGUCCCCGCCCAUGGAAGCUUUCCCCCCGUCAGCGGGUUUCCACUGUACCGGGAGUCCUAGACGAUCCCCUGGUCGUGCGGCCCCUCCCCCGCUCCUUCCCAGACCCGCGUGGCGAUCCCGGUUUCUAGGGGAUGGAGCGAUGUUCUCUCUUACCCCGUUCCAGCUCCUCCGAGGGCUGUACUCUUUCUCCUUUCCUUCUGGGACUUUCAUGACAUAAAUGUUAGACCUUUUGGGAAUGUCCCACUGUUGAGUUUCACCUGCAGACAUCUUUCCUACUUGCUAAAGACAGUUCUUCUCUCCACCAGAUUUAUAAAAGCACAACAUAUAACAAGGAAAUCAAUCUUCUGUCUAUCAUAUGAAGAUAUGGAGGCUCAAAGAGUUUCAGUCACUUAACCUAACGUCACCCAGUUGGUAAGCAGCAGAAUGGACACUUUGUCUGUUUGGCGCCAAAGCCCAUGAUCCUGCAUUCCACGUGGGCCCUGGGGACGGUGCACUUCGGCAGGGCUGGGAUCAGCGGAGGUGAAUGAGGCAAGCAUGAGGAUUACACAUCUCUGCUCCCCUUGUAGUCCUGAGAGGCCAUGUGACUAGGUCUGACCAAUGGGUGGUGAACAGCGGUGAUCCUGUUAUUUCUGAGCUGAUGCAUUUGAUUGUGGGUCUAAAGGCCUCCACCAUUCUCUCCUGCACACUGACUGAGGAGGCAGCAUGUCCCAGAUGGUAAAGCUACAGGAUGGUGGCAUCUCUGUCUGCCUGGAUUGCUGAGUCACAACAUGGAGGGCAGCUGCUCUAGAAGUGACCCAGACCUGCAGUGGGUAUUGUAUGCAUGGGGAAUCAACUUUGGUUGUGUCAAGUCAUCAAUGUCUUGAUAUGGCUUGUUCCCAAACCAUUCCCUCACCUAGUCUGACUAAUACUAUUGAAAAGCUGAAAUUUUAAAAAAUCUGAUUAAAAGAAAAAACUAUCAAUACUGAAAGUAAAUUACAAAAAUGAGGAAAAAAAUUGUGCUGUUGUCAAAUGCAGAUUAUACAUGGUUUAAUUUUUGGCACGUAAGGUCUAGCGUUCAGAGGAGCAUCCAAGAAACUUUAUGAGCAUAACAUGCUGAUGGGAAUUUUAUCCAUUUGGCAGAAGUCAGAGCAAAAUUUGAUAAUAUUAUGGCAGAACAUUUAUGCAUGAUAUAAAUAUUGACACCAAAUAAUAUUGCACCUAUUUAGGGAAUGAAAUACAAAACCAAAUAAUUAAAAUUGUAGCAGAUGUAAUGAAUAAAAUCAGUGUGAAUAAGGUAAGAAGAGCUAAAUAUUACUCAUUAUUUUGGCUACAAAUCUUGAUGUUGUUGUAUUUGAGACACAACCCCUGAUGAAUACAGAAUAGAUAACAAUUUCUGUUAGACUUGUAGAUUCCAAAAAUGCAAAUGUUUCUAUAUGUAAACAUGUUUUGGGAUUUUUUUCCGGUGAAUGACACAACUAGAGAAGGAUUAUAAACAAUAUUAGCAGACCACUUACAAAAACAAUCAAGAAUAAAGUAAUUUGUGGGAACACAGAUAUCAUAAUACUGCAAAUAUGCAGAGAAAACAC